UACGUAGGUGGCAAGCGUUGCUCGGAAUUAUUGGGCGUAAAGCGCACGUAGGCGGCUCGGCAAGUCGGCUGUGAAAUCCCUCGGCUCAACCAAGGAAGUGCAUCCGAAACUGCGGAGCUUGAGUACUUAAGAGGAUCGCGGAAUUCCCGGUGUAGAGGUGAAAUUCGUAGAUAUCGGGAGGAACACCAGUGGCGAAGGCGGCGAUCUGGGAAGAUACUGACGCUGAGGUGCGAAAGCGUGGGGAGCGAACAGG
Molecule: ribosomal RNA, 253 nt
Filed under: uncultured bacterium
Lineage: Bacteria
Description: partial 16S ribosomal RNA
Rfam family: Bacterial small subunit ribosomal RNA
Source: RNAcentral